Molecule: small RNA, 1911 nt
Filed under: Cryptococcus neoformans H99
Lineage: Eukaryota; Fungi; Basidiomycota; Tremellomycetes; Tremellales; Cryptococcaceae
Description: Cryptococcus neoformans var. grubii H99 hypothetical RNA
Source: RNAcentral
CUAGUUUUCCUUGCUUACUCAUCUUUCUCAUACUGCUGACUCAUGUACUGGACGGGGCCCGAGGAGGUGGUGAGCAUGCUGACCAGAGCAUGUAUAGAUAGCUCGAGGGAGACGGGAAGGCAGAGAGAUGGCUGGAAAGAAACCGAAGGGCGAAGAGAGAUGUCGAGAACCCAAAGAGAAUUUAGACGAUCGGCCGCGGUCGUCGGAGGUGGAGGUACUUUGGUUCGGCGGCAGAGAGAGGUGGAGGUUUCGGGUAUCACUUCUGCAUAGCGUCGUGACAUCGCCGUUCACGACCUCCACUAGCAAUAUCGCGGGUAUAAGGGUCAAUGGCGUCUUCAAGCCAUUUUCACCAUCAUAUACGACACAACAUCGAUAAACUAAUAAACCACAUUAACAAUCAACACGUCCAUAUGUGCGUUGCAGCAAUCCAAUCUGAUACGCGGGGCGUAUAUUCAUCCACUAAUCAACCACAAUCACCUCCCGCUGCGCCUCGUCGACCUCAGUCUUCUUGAAAUAAUCAGAGCAAUAUUGGGCAAAUUAACGCCAGCUCCCAAUCCAGAGGUGCAGCAAAGGAAUGCUUUUCCUCCGGAAUCUGGAGCAAGGUGACCUUGGCCAAAGCACUGUUUUACUUCAUCCCUAUUUGUUGAAUCAGAAGUGUAGGCGAGAGCAGAGUACCCGAACUUCUGAACAGCUUUCCUGGCAUCUUCGGUGUGUGGUUUCAGUUUGCAAAACACGAUUGCUUGUGACGUUGGCUUCUUCCAAGUUGUAAAAUGUUUGACAAUUUUUCGGACAAUGUCAGGUAGAUUGUAACCAUUGGCACCUUCCUUGUCAACGAGUGUGCAGCUUGAUAUAACACUGUACCUGUCAAAAAUGGUCAGAGAAAUCGAGGCUGGAUCAGCGAAAGAGUACUUACUUGGCCAAAUUUAAUGUCACUGGCACCCUUAUUUCAGUCACUUCACUAAUCCAGUAUGCCUUGAGCAAUCGAGGUAGUAGCACUGGGGGAAGAGUUGCAGAGACCAAAACUUUUGGAAUAUUGAACAUUGCAAGCAUUUUGACCUCCCUCCUCCCUAACGCCUCCUCGUACGGUCCUUCUCCACUUCCUCUCACCUUCUUCCUCCUUCCCCUCUCUCCUCUGCACCCCGAAACUACUUCUCCCUCUUCCCCUCAUCCCCUUUUUUGUCUCCCUCAUAAUCCCGUUCCUUUGUAUGCGUACACCUUGAGACAAUGCUGGGCAAUGGUGCAACAGGAGGAGCAGGAUGUAAGACGUCCGUAGCAACGUUCUCUGAGAGAGUCCGGCGAAGCCGGGACGACCUUUUCCCUUCCAUCCUUCCUCCACUCUUCAUCGUUUUCCCAUUCAUCUCUUCUCCUACAGUACCUGAACUCGCAUACCGUAAAGAUGCAGCUGGAUUCGGUGCGUCACCACCGAACAACAACCCUGGCAAGAUUUCUUUCGCCAGCUCUCUCACAAGUACCGCCCCAUCCUGUUUGCUCAGCCGCUCGACAAUCUGUGCAAGACCAAAUCUCUCAACGAGGGUGGCUUUGUCAGGAUGGCAUUCGCAGACGACUUUGGUGAGUCGGAGGAGGUUGAGUUUGAUGACUGCUUUAGUAGAUCGUUCAAGGGAUUCCGAGAGGCGGGAGAAGAAGGGAGGGUGAGAGAGGGAAGAGGUGAGGGAUGUGGAAAGACGCAGAAGCUUGAGUAAUCUAUUAAUUGGAUAGAGAUUAGCCAAGUAUGUUUGGGACAGGGUGAUGUGAGGGAGGGAUAUGGACGCACGGAUCGAGAAUACCCUCAAAUGACACCCCAGACGCUUGGACAAAGCACCUGACAAGGGAAUCUGAAGCAGACUUCUCCAAUAAGACAUCUUCUACCCGUGCUGUCUCGUCUUGCAUCCUACAGCCGCAACUCAUCAGCAG